UGCAAGUCGAACGAUGAUCCCCAGCUUGCUGGGGGGAUUAGUGGCGAACGGGUGAGUAACACGUGAGUAACCUGCCCUUGACUCUGGGAUAAGCGUUGGAAACGACGUCUAAUACCGGAUAUGACUCCUGGCCGCAUGGUCUGGGGGUGGAAAGAUUUUUUGGUCAAGGAUGGACUCGCGGCCUAUCAGGUAGUUGGUGAGGUAAUGGCUCACCAAGCCGACGACGGGUAGCCGGCCUGAGAGGGUGACCGGCCACACUGGGACUGAGACACGGCCCAGACUCCUACGGGAGGCAGCAGUGGGGAAUAUUGCACAAUGGGCGAAAGCCUGAUGCAGCAACGCCGCGUGAGGGACGACGGCCUUCGGGUUGUAAACCUCUUUUAGUAGGGAAGAAGGGAGCUUGCUCUUGACGGUACCUGCAGAAAAAGCACCGGCUAACUACGUGCCAGCAGCCGCGGUAAUACGUAGGGUGCAAGCGUUGUCCGGAAUUAUUGGGCGUAAAGAGCUCGUAGGCGGUUUGUCGCGUCUGCUGUGAAAUCUGGGGGCUCAACCCCCAGCCUGCAGUGGGUACGGGCAGACUAGAGUGCGGUAGGGGAGAUUGGAAUUCCUGGUGUAGCGGUGGAAUGCGCAGAUAUCAGGAGGAACACCGAUGGCGAAGGCAGAUCUCUGGGCCGUAACUGACGCUGAGGAGCGAAAGCAUGGGGAGCGAACAGGAUUAGAUACCCUGGUAGUCCAUGCCGUAAACGUUGGGAACUAGAUGUAGGGGCCAUUCCACGGUUUCUGUGUCGCAGCUAACGCAUUAAGUUCCCCGCCUGGGGAGUACGGCCGCAAGGCUAAAACUCAAAGGAAUUGACGGGGGCCCGCACAAGCGGCGGAGCAUGCGGAUUAAUUCGAUGCAACGCGAAGAACCUUACCAAGGCUUGACAUAUACCGGAAACGUCCAGAGAUGGUCGCCCCGCAAGGUCGGUAUACAGGUGGUGCAUGGUUGUCGUCAGCUCGUGUCGUGAGAUGUUGGGUUAAGUCCCGCAACGAGCGCAACCCUCGUUCUAUGUUGCCAGCACGUUAUG
RNAcentral lists this ribosomal RNA (1067 nucleotides) under Frondihabitans sp. 746G4. RNAcentral's name for it is "bacterial SSU rRNA". It matches the Rfam family "Bacterial small subunit ribosomal RNA", at positions 56 to 1130 of the family's 1533-position model. Lineage: Bacteria; Bacillati; Actinomycetota; Actinomycetes; Micrococcales; Microbacteriaceae. The record is from RNAcentral.